RNAcentral lists this ribosomal RNA (490 nucleotides) under uncultured bacterium. RNAcentral describes it as "bacterial SSU rRNA". It matches the Rfam family "Bacterial small subunit ribosomal RNA", at positions 28 to 517 of the family's 1533-position model. The record is from RNAcentral.
GAUGAACGCUGGCGGCGUGCUUAACACAUGCAAGUCGAACGAAGCACUUUGAUCGAUUUCUUCGGAUUGAAAUUUUAGUGACUGAGUGGCGGACGGGUGAGUAACGCGUGGGUAACCUGCCUCACACAGGGGGAUAACAGUUGGAAACGACUGCUAAUACCGCAUAAGCGCACGGUAUCGCAUGAUACAGUGUGAAAAACUCCGGUGGUAUAAGAUGGACCCGCGUCUGAUUAGCUUGUUGGUGAGGUAACGGCCCACCAAGGCGACGAUCAGUAGCCGGCCUGAGAGGGUGAACGGCCACAUUGGGACUGAGACACGGCCCAAACUCCUACGGGAGGCAGCAGUGGGGAAUAUUGCACAAUGGGGGAAACCCUGAUGCAGCGACGCCGCGUGAGUGAUGAAGUAUUUCGGUAUGUAAAACUCUAUCAGCAGGGAAGAUAAAUGACGGUACCUGACUAAGAAGCACCGGCUAAAUACGUGCCAGCAGCCG